AACGCAUCUUGCGCUCGCUGGUAUUCCGGCGAGCAUGCCUGUUUGAGUGUCAUGAAAACUUCAACCCUUCAAUUCCUUGUUGAAUUGUAAGGUGCUUGGAUUCUGAACGUUGCUGGCUUGAAGCGGCCUCGGCUGCUUCGAAAGCGUAGCUCGUUCGUAAUACAUUAGCAUCUCAAUUUCGAGUAUUCGGAUUGACUCGGCGUGAUAGACUUUAUUCGCUGAGGACACCUUUACAAGGUGGCCGAUUUUCGAGGUAGAAGCUUCUAAUUUGAUCAAAAGUCACUCUUAUGUUAGACCUCAGAUCAGGCAGGACUACCCGCUGAACUUAA
Molecule: ribosomal RNA, 329 nt
Filed under: uncultured fungus
Lineage: Eukaryota; Fungi
Description: eukaryotic LSU rRNA
Rfam family: 5.8S ribosomal RNA (bases 1-52)
Source: RNAcentral